This 436-nucleotide ribosomal RNA is filed under the name uncultured archaeon. RNAcentral describes it as "bacterial SSU rRNA". It matches the Rfam family "Archaeal small subunit ribosomal RNA", at positions 24 to 461 of the family's 1478-position model. The record is from RNAcentral.
AAUUCCCGAUUGCUAUCAAAGUGAGAUUAACCCAUGCGAGUUAACGUACCAUUACGUGGCGCACGGCUCAUUAACACGUAUUCAACAUGCCCAAAGGACGUGAAUAACCUCGGGAAACUGAUUCUAAACCGCGAUAAGUGAGGAUUUCUGGAAUGGUUCCUGACUAAAAUCUAUAUGGCCUCUGGAUUGAACUGCGGCCGAUCAGGCUGUUGGUGAGGUAAUGGCCCACCAAACCUGUAACCGGUACGGGCUCUGAAAGGAGGAGCCCGGAAAUGGGCACUGAAACAAGGGCCCAGGCCCUAUGGGGCGCACCAGGCGCGAAACCUCUGCAAUAGGCGAAAGCCUGACAGGGUUACUCUGAUUGACUUUCGCUAAAAAAGUCUUUUGGCACCUCUAAAAAGGGUGCAAAAUAAGGGGUGGGCAAGUCUGGUGUCAC